GGGCACGUAGCUCAGUUGGUUAGAGCACUUCACUGAUAAUGAAGAGGUCGAUGGUUCGAGUCCAUCCGUGCCCA
This 74-nucleotide transfer RNA is filed under the name Candidatus Ryanbacteria bacterium RIFCSPHIGHO2_01_45_13. RNAcentral describes it as "tRNA-Ile". It matches the Rfam family "tRNA". Rfam says of the family: Transfer RNA (tRNA) molecules are approximately 80 nucleotides in length. The record is from RNAcentral. Lineage: Bacteria; Candidatus Ryaniibacteriota. RNAcentral also lists the same sequence under 6 other names.